UCAAAGGAAUGAUUCAUUACAAAGAUCAUGAUAUGUGAUGAAGAGGGAAGAAAACCUGCGUAUGCCACAUAUCUUGCUUUUUACAAAGUUUCCAGGAAAACAAAAGGAGUGAUCCCCAUUGGGAACCAGUGGGUUAGUGGUUGGUGAAAAAAAAAGAUUAAAAAAAAAUCAAGAAAUAUUCAAGAAAUAUUCAAGAAAUAUUCAAGAAAUAUUAAAAGAAAUAUUCAAGAACUAUUCAAAGGAAUGAUUCAUUACAAAGAUCAUUAUAUGUGAUGAAGGGGGAAGAAAACCUGCGUAUACCACAUAUCUUGCUUUGUACAAAGUUGCCAGGAAAACAAAAGGAGUGAUCCCCAUUGGGAACCAGUGGGUAAAGGGUUGGUGAAAAAAAAAAGAUUUAAAAAAAAAUAAAGAAAUAUUCAAGAAAUAUUCAAGAAAUAUGCAAAGAGGUAUUCGAAAAAUACUCAAAAACAUGUUAAAGAACUAUCCAAAGGAAAGUUUCAUUACAAAGAUUAUGAUACGUGAUAAAGAGGGAAGACAACCUGCGUAUGCCACAUAUCUUGCUUUUUACAAAGUUUCCAGGAAAACAAAAGGAUUGAUCCCCAUUGGGAACCAGUGGGUUAGUGGUUGGUGAAAAAAAAAGAUUUAAAAAAAAAUCAAGAAAUAUUCAAGAAAUAUUCAAGAAAUAUUAAAAGAAAUAUUAAAAAAUAUUCGAAAAAUAUUCAAAAACAUAUUCAAGAACUAUUCAAAGGAAUGAUUCAUUACAAAGAUCAUGAUAUGUGAUGAAGGGGGAAGAAAACCUGCGUAUACCACAUAUCUUGCUUUGUACAAAGUUGCCAGGAAAACAAAAGGAGUGAUCCCCAUUGGGAACCAGUGGGUUAGUGGUUGGUGAAAAAAAAAGAUUUAAAAAAAAAUCAAGAAAUAUUCAAGAAAUAUUCAAGAAAUAUUAUAAGGAAUGAUUCAAUACAAAGAUCAUUAUAUGUGAUGAAGGGGGAAGAAAACCUGCGUAUACCACAUAUCUUGCUUUGUACAAAGUUGCCAGGAAAACAAAAGGAGUGAUCCCCAUUGGGAACCAGUGGGUUAGUGGUUGGUGAAAAAAAAGAUUUAAAAAAAAAUCAAGAAAUAUUCAAGAAAUAUUCAAAAAAUAUUCAAAAGAAUCUUUGAAAAAUGUUUAAAAACAUAUUCAAGAACUAUUCAAAGGAAUGAUUCAUUACAAAGAUCAUGAUAUG
Long non-coding RNA from Gasterosteus aculeatus aculeatus (three-spined stickleback), 1226 nucleotides. NCBI's taxonomy places the organism in Eukaryota, Metazoa, Chordata, Actinopteri, Perciformes, Gasterosteidae. The record is from Ensembl.